Mytilus californianus (California mussel) is the source of this 539-nucleotide long non-coding RNA. RefSeq lists it as uncharacterized. Lineage: Eukaryota; Metazoa; Mollusca; Bivalvia; Mytilida; Mytilidae. The transcript is spliced from 3 exons. The record is from RefSeq and is a predicted model, not a curated record.
AGGAAAUACUACAAACAUGCCCAUAAAGCCAGACAACACCCAGACAAAUAUAUGUCAAUGAUUAUAGAUGGCAUGGACCAAUCAAAGACUGAGAUACCUCAUUUUUUAUACCUGUCUUCCCUUACCGCAGGAAUGUGGAAAUUGAGAACUCAUUUGGUCGGAGCACUGGUGCAUGGCGUAGGAUUAUAUGGAUUUUUUGAUUGGUACCAGUAUGCACACUCCUCCAAUUUGACAAUCCAUGUAAUUCUAAGUAUUCUCCUAAUGACUAAAGACAGUCUUCCUGAUGUUCUUUACCUUCAAAUGGACAACUGUGCCAGGGAAAAUAAAAACAGAUUUGUAUUUGGAUUUCUCAGCCUCUUGGUUGAACUGAAAGUGUUCAAGAAAAUCAAGGUUUCAUUUUUGAUGGUUGGCCACACUCACGAAGACAUCGAUCAGGUUUUUUCAAGAUUUUCAGUAUGGUUGAACAAACAUGCAGCUUUUACACUACCAAGACUAAUGCAUGCGUUUGAAAACUGCUUCCAACCAAAACCCCACGCCAU